Molecule: microRNA precursor, 58 nt
Filed under: Caenorhabditis remanei
Lineage: Eukaryota; Metazoa; Nematoda; Chromadorea; Rhabditida; Rhabditidae
Description: microRNA crm-mir-7599 precursor (crm-mir-7599 1 to 3)
Source: miRBase by way of RNAcentral
AGCCCAUUGGAUUGAUCCGACACAAAAUAAUGAUGUGGGAUCCAUUCCAAUUGGCUCU